AGCUUGCUUUUACUAGGACAGUAGCGAACGGGUGAGUAAUACGUAAGAAUCUGCCCUUUGGAGGAGGAAAACGGUUGGAAACGACCGCUAAUCCUGCAUAUGCCAUUGGUAAAAGGUCUCUAACACGAGAUUGCCAAAGGAUGAGCUUACCCCUGAUUAGCUAGUUGGUGGAGUAAAAGCCUACCAAGGCAACGAUCAGUACCUGGUCUGAGAGGAUGAUCACCCACACUGGGACUGAAACACGGCCCAAACUCCUACGGGAGGCAGCAGUAGGGAAUUUUCCGCAAUGGGCAAAAGCCUGACAGAGCACUGCCCCGUGGAGGGGGAAGGCCUAUUGGGUUGUUAACUCCUUUUCCCAAAAAAAAAACCUGACGGUUAUCUGGGGAAUAAGCAUCGGCUAUACUCCGUGCCACCAGCCGCGGUAAUACGGGAGAUGCAAGCGUUCCCCGAAAUUAUUGCGCUUAAAAAGACCGCAGGUUGUUAUCAAAGCCCAUUGUUAAA
RNAcentral lists this ribosomal RNA (501 nucleotides) under uncultured cyanobacterium. Its description in RNAcentral is "bacterial SSU rRNA". It matches the Rfam family "Bacterial small subunit ribosomal RNA", at positions 77 to 599 of the family's 1533-position model. The record is from RNAcentral. Lineage: Bacteria; Bacillati; Cyanobacteriota.